Molecule: long non-coding RNA, 1490 nt
Organism: Zingiber officinale
Lineage: Eukaryota; Viridiplantae; Streptophyta; Magnoliopsida; Zingiberales; Zingiberaceae
Exons: 2
Source: RefSeq, a predicted model, not a curated record
AUCUGCUUGUCAAAGCCCUUCGUCUAAUUUUUUCCGCCCAAACAUUUCGCCGAACCAACAAAACCCUUGGCAAACUUAAGCUCCCUCACCGAAAUCUAUCUACCGUCGAACCAAAACCCUCUUCGAUCCCUAAACUCCGUCCACCGAAAUCUUUCUACCGCCGAACCAAAACCUUCGAUCGUCAAGCAGUAGAUCCCAACGCUGAGGUGAUCGACCAGUCUCUUCGCUUCCUUCGCCAGGCGCUAAGGAGACCUCUCUCACUGGCGCGACUGCCUCCCGUAUGAUUCUGCGGCUACCACUGUGGUGUUGUCUGCCAGUUUGAUUGUGUCGCGCGGCCGCUACAGCUGCCUUGCCUAGAAGAAUCUCAAAUCCCGCUCGUCACUAUAGGGUUUUUGAUCUCACUAUCUGAGAAGUCGCCAAGGAACCUAAGCGUGUGUAAUUGCCAAUCCAUUUUUUUCAUUUUUGCCCCAUCUUAGUGCUUUUUUUUCCUCCAUAUUUACAGGUUGCUAGAUUUCUCAGAUUCAUUGAUCUAGCAUAAUGGCCGCAAGUUGAGUUUUGUAAUAAUAGUUGCGGUUGUUUAUGAUAAUAUCUCCCUCUUUUUUUUGAUCUUAUCCUCUGGUUAUUAUUGUGAUGUUCAGAAUGCGAGAUUACUUAAAGAUGAAGCUACCGAGGAGAAAGGAGAUUGUGUGAGAAUGCUAUAUAUUUGAUUUAAUUAGUAGUAAAAAAUUAGUUAAACUAACACUAGUCUCAAUUUAUGUGAUCGAGCUUACUCUACAGUUCUGAUAUGUUUUUUUUUAAUGUUUUCCUAUAUGCUUAGGAAUCUCAGAUUGAGUUUGAUUAUAGGUUCUAUCAAAUUUUAGAUUUUUUUGCAUUUUAAAUUUAGUAAAAUUAGCAUCUUUUGUCUUAUUUCCUCAGUCAAUAAUUACAUGGUUUAUUGUUAUUGUAGUAAUAACUCUGCACAUUUUAGUGGAACUAUGUUGAUGAGGAUGGAAACCUUUUUCCAAAUAGCUCCUGCAACCAAGCGUGUGAUGUUAAGUUUUUUGGCAUUAUCAUUACUAGAUGAGCAUAUUAAACCUCAGGACAACGUCAAUCUAUUUACUUUUUACUCAUUAAUUGAUAGAAGUUGGAAGCAUGAUUACUUGUUCGAGACUAGAGAAGAUCAAUUCUCUGUGUGUGUAAAUUCAUAUAAUCUUUUUAACAAAACUAUUCUUUUGUUGAUGACUUAACUUUUGAUGUUAUGCAGGAAUCAUUUGUUGGUGCUAUGGCAAUUGGGAAUCUAGUCAAGACAACUUUUAAAUUUGAGAAUGUCGUAAUGUAGGACAUCAUAGAUUAAACUAUUGUUUGUUGGGUUUGCCAACCAUUUAUAAAGCAGCAUGUAUUAUUAUUUUUGUAUUAUAUUCUUAUUUACACUGUCAGGUUAUAGAACAAUUACUGAUGGUAUCUCCAGUUCACUUGUUAUUUUUUAAUACAAAUUGAUUAAUUGAAUGACA